RNAcentral lists this long non-coding RNA (1235 nucleotides) under Gallus gallus (chicken). Its description in RNAcentral is "lncRNA (ENSGALG00010029831.1)". Lineage: Eukaryota; Metazoa; Chordata; Aves; Galliformes; Phasianidae. The record is from RNAcentral.
GAUCGACUGACCUCUUAAUGCUCUUUUUGAUGAAAGUAGAUAAUAUCUUCACAGCCUGACAUCAGGGCUUAACCCUUCCCCCACGUGGAAACUGAACUGGAUGAAGAACAUUUUCUUCCGCUUCCUGUCACAGGAGCACUACUGACCCUUUGGGAAGGGGUAACAAGGAGAGGGACAGCAGCAGGGAAAACUCUCCCAGUGCCAAGGACCUGCAGCAGUCCUGCCUAAGGUUUCUGUAAUGGCACUGCACCAAAGAGCAACACAACCCAAAGAAAAUCCGAUCUACUUUCAUCAAGAAGAGCAUUAAGAGGUCACUCGAUCAAUGGUUAGAGUACUCUGGGUAGAAAAAGACCCCUAUGGACAAGAAAGCCUAACAUGAUCCAACACCUGAAAGCUGAAAAUAGGCACACCUGGAUGGGAAAUAAGGCAUACACUUUGAGGAUAAUUCACUAUCAGAGGAGUGUACCUCAGAAUUUGCUUGAAAUUCCAUCUGUUGAAAUCUUCAGGACCACACGUUUUGCCAAGCCAUAUGUGAGGGGCUAGAAAAGCUCUUGGACAGUGCAGGAUGUCAAACUGGCUGAUGACAAUCAUUUUGUAGGGCUUGCAUGCUGAGCAAAAGGAAAAGCUGCUCCCUCUUCCUCCCAUGAGUCAAUGCUUUGGAAGAGAUUGCACGCCAAAAAACUCUACUGCCUAGAAGAAAAACAGCCCCUUGUUGGCUCAUACUGGGGUCAAGCUGAGGACCCGAUUCUGCAUGGUGCUGGAAUCUGAGCACACUCAGCCCUCCUUGGCUGAGUUAUUAUCUCACAGUUGUUAUAUGCACAGUAUGGAAGUCUCCUGGGAGAGUGGCUAAUGUACACUUUGCCUCCCUAGAAAGCAGGGUGGGAAUUUAUGAGGAAAGAAAAUCAGGCCUAUAAAUUACACAGAGGACCUGUAAAUGGAGGUAUAAGUUUCAUUACUGGAGCAUGUUACGGGACGGUCAAAAUUAAAAACAGCUUCUAGAAAGCGGAUUGCAUUUAGCUUUCCAUUUGGGGGAAAAGAAGAAGAGAAACAAAUUCAAACACAACCUUGAUUAACUGGGCAAAUUACAAACGUGACACUAAGUUUGCACUGACACAGUAAGCAAGCAGCAUGCAAGUUAUCCACUGUCAAGUACUUCUACUCUAACAUCUCAUUUUGCUCUCUGAAAUGUGGUAAUUAGAACAGUACCUUAAUAAUAAUGACGCAUUUAAGAGACA